RNAcentral lists this ribosomal RNA (2999 nucleotides) under Triticum aestivum (bread wheat). RNAcentral's name for it is "partial small subunit ribosomal RNA". Lineage: Eukaryota; Viridiplantae; Streptophyta; Magnoliopsida; Poales; Poaceae. The record is from RNAcentral.
CUGCCCCGGGUGGGACGUCAUCAACGUCGGUGAUAAGAAGAAGAGGUAGAGGAGAUAGCAGAGGUUUACGGUCGGAGCGGUGCAGUAGGGGGCCCGGCCUCGCGGCGGCGGCGGCGAGGUUAGAGCCACGGCAGGUACCUCUUACACUCCGGCGGCCCGGAGGCGAGGCGACGACUGGCGGCGCAUUAGCGGGCAACGCGGGCGAUUAGAAGAGCACGCGGGGCCACCGCGCCGGCCGGGAGGCGGCGUCGUCGACCCGCGCAGCCGGGAAGUCCGCCGACGAGGGGGACCCCGACGUGCGGCAGCCGGAUAAGCGAGAGGCGGAAGUCGAGGAGGGCGUCCCUGCGUCGGUGUUAGAGGGUGCCCCUCGCGAUACGGACGACGUGAGACCGUACGGUCGCAAAGUUGUCGGGGUACGGUGACAGAGGGUACUGGGUACCCCUGUGGAAAGAGGAUAUCAUUGGUCGACGUAUAGGGUAAUGUCCCGGAAGCUAAGCUACCCGUGUGAGGUCUCAGGUCUCGAACCACCUCCUGAAGGUCAGAGACGGUCAAUCAAAGACUCGGACCUAGCGAACUACUAUAUCUUCCAGACGGUGCAGGUAAUCUACCACUACUCCUCGGACGAUGACUUAACGGUGGGCUCAAUCAAGGCCGGUUGUUCGGUGUGAUGACAACCCCUCCUUCACGGUGAACAGUUGAAACCCAGCCGACCACAUUAGGCGACAGCUUCUACGUCCUGUAUAUAUAAUGGGAAUACGUUGUAAACGACUACGACCUUCCUUUACCGCGACGUUAGAAACGUGUAACGAGUUACUACACCGUCUCCUAAACUAUGUCUAGUUUCCGGUCUUGAAAGAUUCCCGUGUCACCUCAAACAACGAGGAUGACUUAUAUACCAAACCGGUGGUUACGACGGAAGACUGAAGACCCCCAUACAAGAUGUCAUAGACGUCAUACUUCACUCGACGAGCUCCAUCAACGUUUCUGGUAGUUUAGUACGGAACUACUAGAAGAUCCGAAAGGUGCUUGUUUUUAACUUAAGAAUUGGAAACCGUCGUGUAAUGUGAAGGUGUUGAAAUUCAAAAGAAACUCAGUUGGAGUUUACUACCACCAACGGCUAAACGUGCUACACAAGAACGGUAACGGACUGCUAGAGAACCAUUUAAACCAGCUAAAAUCUGUACAACAGCUCAGGAAAGAACUAUCGAACGGCUUUGUACGAAGUCCUGUUGUAUUUACAUCUUAGAGAACCAUAACCGACUAAUUCUGAAGCUACUCUACUACAGCCGCGUAUACCAUGUCUGUUCCUCGUAUAAGACUCCUAUGGUCUUCUAGGGAAGAUAUCUGUCUACCGACGGCUCAAGUACUUUUUAGUCCAACGUCACCUGUAUAAAAGAAACGAGAAGGAAUGACACUAUACAUAAUUAUACAUCCAAGAGAACUGCUUUCUAUGACACCAGUCCACAUGGUAAUAGGUGGGAAGUUCCGUUGAUUUGUGCCCCUCUUUGAAUUUGUACUCGAAUUAGCCCUCUGACGGAGUCUUAGACAGUACGCAUAGUCUACACCUUUUCCCACGCAAAGUGUUGUAUAGUACCAGUAAAGUACGGACAGUUGUCUAAACAAUCGAGAAGGUCGACAACUGACAUUACUUCGAAAACGCCACAUUGACAGAGAUCUCCUCUGGGAUUACUGGUGCGUCUGACACAUAUGAAAGUUCACCGCAACGAUAUAUGUAGUAGAAGACCACUUACUACAUAGUCCCACCUAUGUCGACGACGUGGACACCAGUGUCUAGAACCACUUUACAUAGUAGUUCGUCUAUGACCACGGUAACACAGUCACAACCGAUCUUAGCGACAACUUUUGAGUGACAGACUAUUCGAUCUGUCACAAGCUGUUGUUAAUGUCAAUUUCGAACACUUUUCAGACUUCCUUAUGGCCUUAGACAUAUAACAUGUUGUAGCCUAUCCUCCCUCUGACUAUAUAGGUCUUAGUAAUUCUAUGAACGGUAAUAUGUAGGACCGAGAUACGUUUAGGGAACGAGACACACCACCAAUACGACUGCAGAGAGAACUACUUGUAACACGGCGACCAAAGUCAUACUACUAUGACGGACGUUCUUCCGACGAGUUAAAAUAAAUAGGUAGAGACAUGUCCGAACUACUUCAUAACCGUCACCUUGGUCUAUACUAACUACCCCGGGACUUCGCCAACGGUAAUUGGAACGUCACGGAUCUGUGACGACCAAAUAUAGAAGAACUACUACCGAAGUGGAAGGAUCAUACCAACCCAUCCUACGAGGUUGGACUCGAGUACUUGCUGUAAGAACCUCAGUCGGAGAGUUUGAAGGGACUAGAUAGUUUCUAAGUCAACUCUCUUACACUGUUGUUAGUGAGUUCUUUGAAGUACCGUCAUGAUUCUCGGGAUUCCCUCUCCCUAAGAAGUACAAUGGUCGACGGGGCACACCAUGCCGUUCCGCUCGUCGGUUCUCUUCCAAAGGAUGAAGACAGGUUGGAGCAGCUCCUAGUCUACUGUCCUUGUUCGUCAAUGUACCUGACCUAUGAGGUUUAAGUGGCGGUUUACGCCUCGAGCCCUACUACAUGCCACCUACAAGGUCCUUAAAAACAAAAACACAUUUAACGACGUCUAAGCCGACGACACGGUCAGGGGCCAGCGGGAGAAUUGGUAACCUUGUUUUACCGCUCGGUCGGCACGAGAUGGUAUACGGUAGGACAAUCGUCGUUGCAAGAACGACAGCCGCUCGUUACGUUUGAAAUAACAAUUAUAAGGCAAGAACACUAAUAAAAAGCACUGCUCUUUUCCUAUGUGUCGACAACAUGGUCUUUUCAUCCGUCGUGGAAACCAUUUAACAUUUCGCAAGCCUCAGAAACUAUCCCCAAACAUGCGUAAACAUAGCAGCUGUUAAAAUCAACCUUUCAACACACUUGAGAACAAACUCACAACCAUAACUAGACCUACGUUACCCUUCGUGGAAAGAC